This 519-nucleotide ribosomal RNA is filed under the name uncultured Paraglomeraceae. RNAcentral's name for it is "bacterial SSU rRNA". It matches the Rfam family "Eukaryotic small subunit ribosomal RNA", at positions 569 to 1080 of the family's 1831-position model. The record is from RNAcentral. Lineage: Eukaryota; Fungi; Glomeromycota; Glomeromycetes; Paraglomerales.
AGCAGCCGCGGUAAUUCCAGCCCCAAUAGCGUAUAUUAAAGUUGUUGCAGUUAAAAAGCUCGUAGUUGAAUUUCGGGAGCCGCGGGUCGGUUGGGCUUAACUGUCCAUCACUGGCUCCGCGGGUCUCUUACCUUCUGGCGAGGUCAGAUGUCAUUUAUUUGGUGUCUGGCGGAACCAGGACCAUUACCUUGAAAAGAUUAGAGUGUUUAAAGCAGGCUUUAUCGUCUGAAUACAUUAGCAUGGAAUAAUAAAAUAGGACGGCUAAGGGUUCUAUUUUGUUGGUUUCUUAGGACCACCGUAAUGAUUAAUAGGGAUAGUUGGGGGCAUUAGUAUCCAAUUGUCAGAGGUGAAAUUCUUAGGAUUUAUUGAAGACUAAACUACUGCGAAAGCAAUUUGCCAAGGAUGUUUUCAUUAAUCAAGAACGAAAGUUAGGGGAUCGAAGACGGUCAGAUACCGUCGUAGUCUUAACCAUAAACUAUGCCGACUAGGUUUCGGCGAUGUUAAAUUAUUUAUGACUGC